GUAAAACAUACACACUCUCUUUCUCUUUCUUUCUCUCUCUCUCUCUCUUCUCUCUCUCUCUUUUCUCUCUCUUUCUCUCUCUCUCUUUAAUCAGUUUUUUGAGACAAGGUUUUUCUGUACAGCCCUGGCUGUCCUGGAACUCGCUCUCUAGACCAGGCCAGCCUCGAACUCACAAAGAUCCACAUGCCUCUGCCUCCUGAGUGCUGUAAUUAAAGGUGUGCGUGUGCCACCACUGACUGGCAAAACCUUAUCUCUUUAGGAUUGCUUUCCAGAUGAGAAUUUUUAGCUCAAAGUGUAUAUUCUCCGUCAACGGUGCUUCUGGGAUACUUACUAAGCAGCUGUUAGGCGUUGGGUACCACUGGGGUCUGGUAGUGAACAUAGCAGAUAAAGCCCCUGCCCUGAAGAGCAGAUAGUUUGUCUGGGAAGAACUCAGGGGUUAGUAUUCAAGUAAUUCCAAUAUUGUGAGAUCAGGCUUGGGUGAGUUCUUUCGGGCAUACAGCACAGAUUUUAUUGCUGGCGAUGGAUAAAGCUUUUAGGAAGAAGUGGUUCGAACGCUGAGUCUUUCCAAGGAGGAGAUAAGAAGACAUUGCCCUCAGGGAGCUGAUGGGAGGAAGGGGGAGAGGGAUGGGAAGCACAACCACAGCGCCACCCAGGCAGAUCGUAUGACCAUUUAAGGAACUGAAGGACAUUCUCAUUACUCCCUUGAGUUCUGGGAGUGGGGAAGGUAAUGUGAUGUGGAAUUGAUCUGAGGGAAGCUGGCUGAGUCAGCUGGGAGAGAAGUUAGGUGUUGCCCGGGUGGGAGUGAAGGCACUCCCACCAGGACAGUUCAGGAGAGGGAAGAGGUUUGUCCUUACAGUCUGAGGGUGAUUAGAAUGGAGAGCCUGCUUCCUCCUGAGAAGCUGGGAAGGUAGCACUGACAGGAGGACCCUGGGUUGCCAGACCUCAUUAAUUAGCUUAAUUCCUGAAGAAGGAUCCAUGAUAUAACAGCAGCACUAAGCUUCAGAAAGGACUGGUUGCCAAAGCCGCAUCUUGACCCUGGGGUACAGCACCCAGUUAAGGAGGGAUUACAAACCCAGUGUUUCUGCUCCGCAAAACAGACUUAGAUGCAGAGUGGCGGGCAGAUAAAUGAAUGCAUAUAAACAAACAAACAAA
RNAcentral lists this long non-coding RNA (1152 nucleotides) under Rattus norvegicus (Norway rat). Its description in RNAcentral is "long non-coding RNA NONRATT003799". Lineage: Eukaryota; Metazoa; Chordata; Mammalia; Rodentia; Muridae. The record is from RNAcentral.